RNAcentral lists this ribosomal RNA (1147 nucleotides) under Priestia endophytica. RNAcentral's name for it is "bacterial SSU rRNA". It matches the Rfam family "Bacterial small subunit ribosomal RNA", at positions 119 to 1257 of the family's 1533-position model. Lineage: Bacteria; Bacillati; Bacillota; Bacilli; Caryophanales; Bacillaceae. The record is from RNAcentral.
GGGCAACCUGCCCUUGAGACGGGGAUAACUCCGGGAAACCGGAGCUAAUACCGGAUAACACAUAUCUUCGCAUGAGGAUAUGUUAGAAGGUGGCUUUUAGCUACCACUCAAGGAUGGGCCCGCGGCGCAUUAGCUAGUUGGUGAGGUAACGGCUCACCAAGGCGACGAUGCGUAGCCGACCUGAGAGGGUGAUCGGCCACACUGGGACUGAGACACGGCCCAGACUCCUACGGGAGGCAGCAGUAGGGAAUCUUCCGCAAUGGACGAAAGUCUGACGGAGCAACGCCGCGUGAGUGAUGAAGGUUUUCGGAUCGUAAAGCUCUGUUGUUAGGGAAGAACAAGUACCUGUUAAAUAAGCAGGUACCUUGACGGUACCUAACCAGAAAGCCACGGCUAACUACGUGCCAGCAGCCGCGGUAAUACGUAGGUGGCAAGCGUUGUCCGGAAUUAUUGGGCGUAAAGCGCGCGCAGGCGGUUCCUUAAGUCUGAUGUGAAAGCCCACGGCUCAACCGUGGAGGGUCAUUGGAAACUGGGGAACUUGAGUGCAGAAGAGGAGAGCGGAAUUCCACGUGUAGCGGUGAAAUGCGUAGAGAUGUGGAGGAACACCAGUGGCGAAGGCGGCUCUCUGGUCUGUAACUGACGCUGAGGCGCGAAAGCGUGGGGAGCGAACAGGAUUAGAUACCCUGGUAGUCCACGCCGUAAACGAUGAGUGCUAAGUGUUAGAGGGUUUCCGCCCUUUAGUGCUGCAGCAAACGCAUUAAGCACUCCGCCUGGGGAGUACGGUCGCAAGACUGAAACUCAAAGGAAUUGACGGGACCCGCACAAGCGGUGGAGCAUGUGGUUAAUUCGAAGCAACGCGAAGAACCUUACCAGGUCUUGACAUCCUCUGCUACUUCUAGAGAUAGAAGGUUCCCUUCGGGACAGAGUGACAGGUGGUGCAUGGUUGUCGUCAGCUCGUGUCGUGAGAUGUUGGGUUAAGUCCGCAACGAGCGCAACCCUUGAUCUAGUUGCCAGCAUUUAGUUGGGCACUCUAAGGUGACUGCCGGUGACAAACCGGAGAAGGUGGGGAUGACGUCAAAUCAUCAUGCCCCUUAUGACCUGGGCUACACACGUGCUACAAUGGAUGGUACAAAGGGCUGCAAAACCG